CCGGUCGGGCUCGGUCGGGCGGCCGCGGCCAUGACGCAGGGUCCGGGCGGGCGGGCGGCCCCUGCGCCCCCCGCACCCCCGGAGCCUGAGGCGCCCACCACCUUCUGCGCGCUGCUGCCGCGCAUGCCGCAGUGGAAGUUCGCGGCCCCAGCCGGCUUCCUGGGCCGGGGCCCGGCGGCGGCGCGGGCGGCGGGGGGCGCGGGGGCGGCGGGGGAGGCCGAGUCCGAGCCCGAGCCGGCCGGCUCGGCCGGCGUCCCGGCGCUGGCGGCGGCGGUCCUGGGCGCCUGCGAGCCGCGCUGCGCCGCGCCCUGCCCCCUGCCUGCGCUCAGCCGCUGCCGGGCCGCCGGGGCGCGGGGGUCGCGGGGCGCGCGGGGGGUGGCCGGGCCCCCGGACGCCGCCGCCGACGAGUGGAUCCGCAAAGGCAACUUCAUCCACAAGCCGGCGCACGGCUGGCUACACCCGGACGCCAGGGUCCUGGGGCCCGGGGUCUCCUACAUCGUUCGGUACAUGGGCUGCAUCGAAGUCCUCCGCUCAAUGCGCUCCCUGGACUUCAGCACUCGCACCCAGGUCACCAGGGAAGCCAUCAACCGGCUCCAUGAGGCCGUGCCUGGCAUCCGGGGCUCCUGGAAGAAGAAGGCCCCCAACAAGGCUCUGGCCUCCAUCCUGGGCAAGAGCAACCUGCGCUUCGCGGGCAUGAGCGUCGCUGUCAGCAUCUCCAUCGACGGCCUCAACCUCUCCGUUCCCGCCACGCGCCAGCGGCAGCCCCGUGACUGGUGGUCUCUCUUCGGCCAGAUCAUCGCCAACCACCACAUGCAGUCCAUCUCCUUUGCGUCGGGUGGUGACACGGACAUGGCGGAUUAUGUGGCCUACGUGGCCAAGGACCCCAUCAACCAGAGAGGUGAGGCCCGGUGGGGGCGGGUGGGGCCCUCGGGCUGGAGCGCGUCAGCCAGCCGAGGCCCCCCUGAUGCUGCGCCACGACCCCCAGCCUGCCACAUCCUGGAGUGCUGCGAGGGCCUCGCCCAGAGCGUCAUCAGCACCGUGGGCCAAGCCUUCGAGCUGCGCUUCAAACAGUACCUGCACAGCCCCCCCAGGGUUGUCGUCCCCCCGGGAAGGCUGACCGGGCCGGAGGAUUCGGCCUGGGGGGACGAGGACGAGACAGAACACAACUACUACAACCGCACUCCCGGGAAGGAGCCGCCCCUGGGCGGGCUGGUGGACUCCAGGCUCACCCCCGCGCAGCAGACCUGUGCCCUCGGGGCCCUUGGCCAGGGAGCAUCUCCUGCUCGAAGAGAUGCCCGAGGCCCGCAGUGGGACGUGGGCCCCUCAGCCCCGCCCGGGGAUGGCUACGUGCAGGCAGACGCCCGGGGCCCGCGAGACUACGAGGACCACCUGUACGUCAACACGCAGGGUCUGGACGGCCCGGAGCCCCUGCAGCCUGAGGACAGCCCCAAGAAGGACCUGUUCGACAUGAGAGGCAGCUGCCCCCCGCCUCCCGCAGGGUCUUCGCCCACAGGACCCUUCGAGGAUGCCCUGAGGCUGCACGAGUGCUCCGUGGCCGCGGGUCCGGCGGCAGCCCCCCUUCCCGUGGAGGACCAGUGGCCCAGCCCGCCGACCCGCCGGGCCCCCAUCGCCCCCACGGAGGAGCAGCUGCGGCAGGAGCCCUGGUACCACGGCCAGAUGAGCCGUCGGGCGGCGGAGAAACUGCUUCGAGUGGACGGGGACUUUCUUGUGCGGGACAGCGUCACCAACCCCGGGCAGUACGUCCUCACCGGCAUGCACGCAGGGCAGCCCAAGCACCUGCUGCUCGUGGACCCCGAAGGCGUGGUAAGGUGCGGACGAAGGACGUGCUCUUCGAGAGCAUCAGCCACCUGAUCGACUACCACCUGCAGAACGGGCAGCCCAUCGUGGCUGCCGAGAGCGAGCUCCACCUGCGUGGUGUCGUCAAGCGGGAACCCUGAGCCAGGUUGUGGUUCUCAGCCUGUGGCUCCUGUCCCCGCUCCCCCCGGAUGGCCCUGUUGUGGCCUAAGGGGCCCUCAGCCUUUCUCUGGACCCUGGUCGGGCCGGAAUCGCCGCUGUCUCUCCUUCCUCCGCGUGGGUCUCUGGAAUCUUCCUUCUCCAGCUGGCCCUGGGCUGGGCUGGGUCAACCCCGCCAGGAGACGGGGCCCACGACCCCUUUCUCCCACCGGGCCCUCUGCCUGCCGCCAGCCUUCACCUGGAGUGAGGGCACACAUACCAAAGACAGAGCCUUUUCUCGCCUUUAAAGAAAAUAUAUCAAAAAGCAGCCAUCUAUCUCGGAGCCCUGGCCCAGGUUCCUGAUGGGGCAAGGAGGAGUUUCCUUUCCCGGCUGGACGUCAGCUCACCUCCCUGGAACCAGCGGGUCCCCAGUUCCCUGGCAUGGAGAUGGAUUCCUGUCCUGGCCGGGCUCAGAUUUUCCACCUGAAAAAUUAGUGCACAGUUGUCUUUUGGGGGGAGAAUCGAGGUGCUUUGGGCCCUCAGGCCAGGGCAAAUGCUGAUGUUGAAGUGGGGGGCAGCCUUGGGAUGAUGCGGGGUAUCCAGGCAACCCCAAGACAACUGACCCUGGUGGGGGUGGUUGUGAGGCCCCCGCCCUCCCAGCUGUCAACCUGCACUGGACACUUGGACUCUGUUUGUAAUUAAACCUGGGAAUGACCACGGGGA
Balaenoptera acutorostrata (minke whale) is the source of this 2676-nucleotide RNA transcript. It is a transcript of the gene named SHC adaptor protein 2, with no coding region annotated. The transcript has 12 exons. NCBI's taxonomy places the organism in Eukaryota, Metazoa, Chordata, Mammalia, Artiodactyla, Balaenopteridae. The record is from RefSeq and is a predicted model, not a curated record.